RNAcentral lists this ribosomal RNA (356 nucleotides) under uncultured bacterium. RNAcentral describes it as "bacterial SSU rRNA". It matches the Rfam family "Bacterial small subunit ribosomal RNA", at positions 8 to 353 of the family's 1533-position model. The record is from RNAcentral.
AGAGUUUGAUCAUGGCUCAGGAUGAACGCUAGCUACAGGCUUAACACAUGCAAGUCGAGGGGAAACGAUAUUGGAAGCUUGCUUCCGAUAGGCGUCGACCGGCGUACGGGUGAGUAACGCGUAUCCAACCUGCCCACCACUUGGGGAUAACCUUGCGAAAGUAAGACUAAUACCCAAUGACGUCUCUAGAAGACAUCUGAAAGAGAUUAAAGAUUUAUCGGUGAUGGAUGGGGAUGCGUCUGAUUAGCUUGUUGGCGGGGUAACGGCCCACCAAGGCAACGAUCAGUAGGGGUUCUGAGAGGAAGGUCCCCCACAUUGGAACUGAGACACGGUCCAACUACCUACGGAGGGCAGCA